UACGUAGGCAGCGAGCGUUGUUCGGAGUUACUGGGCGUAAAGGGUGUGUAGGCGGUUCUUAAGUUUGGUGUGAAAUCUCCCGGCUCAACCGGGAGGGUGCGCCGAAUACUGAGGGACUAGAGUGCGGGAGAGGAAAGUGGAAUUCCUGGUGUAGCGGUGAAAUGCGUAGAUAUCAGGAGGAACACCGGUGGUGUAGACGGCUUUCUGGACCGUAACUGACGCUGAGACACGAAAGCGUGGGUAGCAAACAGG
RNAcentral lists this ribosomal RNA (252 nucleotides) under uncultured bacterium. Its description in RNAcentral is "partial 16S ribosomal RNA". It matches the Rfam family "Bacterial small subunit ribosomal RNA", at positions 524 to 776 of the family's 1533-position model. The record is from RNAcentral.